Molecule: ribosomal RNA, 509 nt
Filed under: uncultured bacterium
Lineage: Bacteria
Description: bacterial SSU rRNA
Rfam family: Bacterial small subunit ribosomal RNA
Source: RNAcentral
GAUGAACGCUAGCGGGAGGCUUAACACAUGCAAGUCGAGGGGCAGCAUAGGGUAGCAAUACUCUGAUGGCGACCGGCAAACGGGUGAGUAACGCGUAUGCAACCUACCCUGUACAGGGGGAUAACCCGGAGAAAUUCGGACUAAUAUCCCGUAAUAAUAUCCGGAGGCAUCUUUGGAUAUUUAAAGUUCCGACGGUACGGGAUGGGCAUGCGUAACAUUAGCUGGUUGGUAAGGUAACGGCUUACCAAGGCUAUGAUGUUUAGGGGUCCUGAGAGGGUGGUCCCCCACACUGGUACUGAGACACGGACCAGACUCCUACGGGAGGCAGCAGUGAGGAAUAUUGGUCAAUGGGCGCAAGCCUGAACCAGCCAUCCCGCGUGCAGGAAGACGGCCCUAUGGGUUGUAAACUGCUUUUCCAGGGAGAGAAACUUACGCACGUGUUGCGUGACUGACGGUACCCUGGGAAUAAGCAUCGGCUAACUCCGUGCCAGCAGCCGCGGUAAAACGUG